AGCGAACGCUGGCGGCAGGCCUAACACAUGCAAGUCGAACGAACCUUUCGGGGUUAGUGGCGGACGGGUGAGUAACAGGUUGGAACGUGCCUUUAGGUUUGGAAUAACUCAGGGAAACUUGUGCUAAUACCGAAGGUGCCCUUCCGUGGAAAGGUUAGUCGCCUCUAGAGCGUCCGGCGUCUGAUUAGCUAGUGGGUUGAGUUAAUGGCUUACGAAGGCGACGAUCAGUAGAUGGUCUGAGAGGAUGAGCAGACACAUUGGGAGUGAGACACGGCCGAAAAUACUACGGGAGGCAGGAGUGGGGAAUCUUGCGAAAUCGGGGAAAGGAUGAAGCAGCCAUGCCGCGUGAAUGAUGAAGGUUUGAGGAUUGUAAAAUUAUUUAACCGGGGACGAUAAUGACGGUACCCGGAGAAGAAGCCCCGGCUAACUUCGUG
RNAcentral lists this ribosomal RNA (434 nucleotides) under uncultured bacterium. RNAcentral's name for it is "partial 16S ribosomal RNA". It matches the Rfam family "Bacterial small subunit ribosomal RNA", at positions 29 to 507 of the family's 1533-position model. The record is from RNAcentral.